This is a long non-coding RNA of Eublepharis macularius, 558 nucleotides long. RefSeq lists it as uncharacterized. The transcript is spliced from 4 exons. Lineage: Eukaryota; Metazoa; Chordata; Lepidosauria; Squamata; Eublepharidae. The record is from RefSeq and is a predicted model, not a curated record.
UACAAAGUGUGUGCUUAAUCUGACGACGAUCACUCUGUGAGGUACUGACCUGUUUGUCCAAGAGCAUUGCUGACACAAAAUAGCGUAUAUAACGUUUGAAGACGAACAAGGGAAUGAACCUGCAAUGAUCUUCAGUUCAUAGAGAGAUGAAAUGCAGGUCUCCAGAUCCAAGACUCCGGUCCCCAGGGAGGAAGAAAUAUUUCAGGCUUAUAGAAGCUGCAGGUGUCUUAUCUAACGGACUGUAGAAACUCAGUGCUUCUAACCUUGUACCCCGCUCACUCCCAUGCACUGCUCUGUUACAACUUUGAUCUCCUGCCUUCUCAGUGGCUAGACUUGAUAGUACAAAUAUGUGAGACGUUCUCAGGACGCGUUCACGCCAAAAGUCCUGUUUGGCUGAAGGGAAGGUGAAGGAGUAAAUGUGUGAGUUAAGAGGAAUGGUUUACCCACAUGUUGCCAUUCCUGUCAACCUGUUUUCACUGCUUAGUUGCUUACCUUGCUUCUGAGUAACUAUAUGGACAUCUCUGUGGACAUGAUUUGAUUUCUGAAUAAAACCAUUUA